UCCAUCGUGAGGUGAGAACUGAAGGAAGUCCUAGGCAAAAUUCCGACCCAAGGAAUACGAAUAUUUUCAGGCAACUAUUUGUGGAUGAGUCUGCAAAACAAGACAAAGUCCUAUAACUACACAGAGCAAAUAGGUGUAUAAAAUGUGGGUACAUGGAAGGAAAGUGAAUUGU
Methanosarcina sp. Ant1 is the source of this 172-nucleotide non-coding RNA. The record is from Rfam. Lineage: Archaea; Methanobacteriati; Methanobacteriota; Methanomicrobia; Methanosarcinales; Methanosarcinaceae.